This 322-nucleotide ribosomal RNA is filed under the name uncultured bacterium. Its description in RNAcentral is "bacterial SSU rRNA". It matches the Rfam family "Bacterial small subunit ribosomal RNA", at positions 28 to 335 of the family's 1533-position model. The record is from RNAcentral.
GACGAACGCUGGCGGCAGGCUUAACACAUGCAAGUCGCACGAGAACGUUCUGGCUUUGCCAGGACAAGUACAGUGGCGGACGGGUGCGUAUCGCGUAGAUAACCUGCCCUUAGGCGCGGGACAAUCACGGGAAACCGUGGCUAAUACCGCACGUCGUCUGGGCCCCGCAUGGGGACCAGAUGAAAGCUUGGGGUUACCCAGGCGCCUUGGGAUGGGUCUGCGUUGGAUUAGCUUGUUGGUGAGGCAACGGCUCACCAAGGCGACGAUCCAUAGCUGGUCUGAGAGGACGAUCAGCCACACUGGGACUGAGACACGGCCCAGG